RNAcentral lists this long non-coding RNA (5568 nucleotides) under Marmota monax (woodchuck). Lineage: Eukaryota; Metazoa; Chordata; Mammalia; Rodentia; Sciuridae. The record is from RNAcentral.
CUUGGUUCUGGGCAGUUGCCGGCUGCUCAGUGGCAGUGAAAGCAGAGAGGUCCUUCCCUGACAUGUGGUGGCUGCCAAGGUCUGGGACAGGAAUGGCUUGCACAAGAAGCCAGGGCCCGCCUUGGCUCUUUGCAUGGCACAGUGUGCUGCUGGAGACUCCUGAGCUAACUGACCUGCAGUCAAGAAUGGCGCUCCGUGGUCCUGGGCCCUGGAGCCUCCUGGUACCCGGGCUGGAACAUUCUGGCAGGGUGGCGGAGACCCGUGUGUUCUCCCCCGUGGGGACUCUGUUCUGUACCUGGGCUCUGCCUCACACAGGUGCCAGGGACCUGGGGGCAUUCCAUGCCUUCAUCGUCUCAGAUCUGCGGGAACUCCGGGGACGAGCUGGCCAGGGCAUCCUACUGCUGCGGAUCCUGAACCCCUGGGGCCGGCACUGCUGGCAGGGACUCUGGAGAGAGGGGUGAGUGCCAGGAGCAGGGCCCUGAGACCCUGUGGUCCCCGGCCUUCUGGCCUGUGCCUUAGUGAGUCCAGCUGUCAGGUCAGUGUUCAUGUCUGCAGGGCCACUUGGUGGCACCUCGUGCACUGCUAUGUUCAGGGCCUCGGGCAGUUCUUGGGAGGUGUGGGACCACCGUGACCCUAGGUCUUGGGGGAACCCGCAGACCCGGGAACAGGAACUUGGUUUGAAGACCCAGCUAAGCCAGGAUCCCCUGGAAGCCUGGAGCUGCAGAUGGUGGUGGACUCCCAGCCGGAGUGCAUGCAGCAGCUCCACCUGAGACCACAGGGCAGGUGUCGUUCUGGGUUGUGGUGUCCGGGAAGCCAGUCCAGAGGCAAGAAGCCCCUCUGGGGAAGGAGAGAGGCUCCCGCAAGUGCUGCCGUGGGGAGGCCCCUCAUCUCAGGAUGCCUCUCGACACGGGAGGGGGCCCAGCAGCAGGACCACGGGGUGCUGGAAGGGGGGACUCUCGGGCCCCCAGCUGAUGCUGCCAGCUCUUGGGAGCAGCUUUCCUGAGGGAGGCUCCUUACAGGGGUGAAGGGUGGAGUCAGGUGGAGCCAGCUGAGGGGGCCGAGCUGCUGUCCCAGCUCCAGGACGGGGAGUUCUGGGUGGAGGAAGAGGAGUUCCUCAGGGAAUUUGAGGAGGUCACCAUUGGCUACCCCGUCACAGAGGCCGGCCACCUGCAGAGUCUCUACACAGGUAGGGCAGCAGGAGAGUGGGUCCCACGUGGGCACCCUGGGCAGAGCUCAUGCCCAGGCCCCACCCGUGCAUCCUGGGAACUGGAGGAGGUUGAGGCUUACCCGCAUGGCCCGGGGGUACAGCAGGGCUGUCCCAGAGCUGAUGUGGAUGCUCUCCUGCUAGAGAAGACGCUGUGCCACACGCAGGCGCUGCCUGGUGCCUGGGUCGUGGGGCAGUCAGCUGGAGGUUGCCGGAACAACAGCUGCUUUCCCUGCAACCCCAAGUACUGGCUGAGGCUCUCGGAACCCAGCGAGCUGUGUGUGGCUGUUCUGCAGAGACCCAGGAAGCACCCAGCAGGCAGGGCCCGGGCUCUGGUGGGCUGUGGCCCUGCCCCAUCAAGCCUCCUGGGCAAGGAUCACCAGGUCAAGGACUACCAGGCCGUGGGCCUGCACAUCUGGAAGGUAACUGUCACCCCGCCCACCCCCGCAGUGGCUGUGGGGACCAGGCCUGCUUUUGGCACUCUGCCAGGGGCCCUGUCUCUCACCUCCUUGGGCUGCCAUGGACCCAGCUGAGCUGAGGCCCUGUGCCUCACUGGCCAGAGAAGAACAGGGCAACAGCCAGAGGGGGGCCACAGGAGCUGCCCACGGGCCCUGCUCUCGGCCGUGCUCUCCAGCACAGUGAGCGGAACCACUCAGGAGAGGAGCUGCUUCCGUCCUGCAGACGACCCUCUGACUCCUCCCUGGCUCCUUCCCCUGCUUUGUGGGGAUCGUGAUGCUGAUCUUUGACCUCUUGGGACUGUUCUGAGGCUUUUGUCACACUCAGCCACUAGAUCCUAAACUGGCUGUUUCCUGGAAGACUGGCUGGGCUGGGCGCUGCUGCCCGUCUGCCUGCCCAGUGGCUGUGUCCUCAUGGGCUGGGAGCUGACACUGCCCUUUGUGGGCAGACCUGCAUUAUGGUUCUUUCCUCUUACGAAGGAGGGGCUGAGCCCUUUCCCAUAGUCCCCCAGCUAUGCUGGCCAGGGGCCUUUGGGGGCACAGCCCUGUGUAGAUUUGUUUGUUUUCUUCUUGACCCUGGUGACAGGGCUCUGGGAAGCCUUGGGUCUGGCUUUUCCAGUUGGCCCUUGAGAGGAUGAGGGUGCGGAUGGACUUUGACCUGCUAGCUUGAGAGGCCUUCCUGCUGAGCAGGGAGCAGAGAGCUGGGUGCUGGGCGCUCUCCCACUGACCUCUGCCUGCCCUCUGCAGGUGGAGAAACGGCGGGUCAGCCUGCCCAGAAUCCUGUCCACACCGCCUGUGGCUGGCACUGUGUGUCAUGCAUAUGACCGAGAGGUCCAUCUACACUGUGAGCUCCCCCCUGGCUACUACCUGGCUGUCCCCAGCACCUUCCUGAAGGACAUGCCAGGGCAGUUCCUGCUCCGAGUUUUCUCCACAGGCAAAGUCUCCCUCAGGUGAGGAGCCAGUGGCAGCUGUGAGCAAGGGUUCAUCCGGGGAUGGGACUCUGGUGGCUGCCCUGGUUGGGCACAGUCCUCAGACAGGCUGCUAGCACCCUCCUCCGCUCGUCCCUCCACAGUGCUGUCAGGCCAGCAGCCAAGGGCGCCUCCCCUGGGGCAGCCCUGCCCUCCGGCGAGUGGGAGACCCUGCAGCUGCGGGGCUGCUGGAGAGCAGGCCGGACAGCAGGGGGCAGCAGGAACUUCGCCUCCUACCUCUGCAACCCCUGCCUCCCUUUCUCGGUCCCCGAGGGCUCCAGUCCCCGAUGCAUCCGAAUCACCCUGCACCAGCACUGCCCGCUCAGUGACAGCCAGCUGCAUCCCAUUGGCUUUCAUGUCUUCCAGGUGGGCUCCUCAGCAAGGGACAGGUACGGGGAGGCCCAGGCAACCCAUGUCUGUCCCAUGUUGUCCCAGUAAUCAGCUGCCUGGGAGGCAGAGCCUGGGCUCAGUUGGGCACAUCAGCCCAGCUGGCUGGUCUCAUGGGAGGCUGGUCUCUAGGUUUCUAAGGCUGUAUUUGCUGGGGUCAGCUCAGAUGGCCCUUGGCCACUCACCCUGGCUCGGAACAUCUGUGUCCUGAGGUCAAUUCUCCCCAGAGCAUGCCCCCUACCCCAGGAUCCUGGACCCUGGAGGCUGCUCAGGGGAUUCUGGGCAGACACCCAGCCUCACCAUGGAUCUGGCCCCAGCCAGCAAUUUCAGAGAAGCCCUACCCACUGGUGCAACAGGGAGUGAACACACCCAGGAGCCACCCAGGUCAUACCACCUGCCCCUCCCAUGUCACUGAGCGCCCUGGGUGGGACUGGCAAGAGCUGCACCCCAGUGGGGGGCAGUGGAAGUCAGAGCAGCGAUGGCCUGGUCUGGAAGAAGGGGUGUGUGGGGCCAGAGGAGCAGACAGUGGGGUGAGCUGCUCCCGCAACCAGCAGGCAGAGGAGAGGUGGGGGUGCCCUCAGGGAGGCCAGCAGCCCGAGGGUGCCCCUGGAGCUACCGGAGCCUGCAGCUGGGGUCAGCCCUGCACAGGUGAGUCGGGAAGGAGGCAGCCGGGCAAAGUGAUAGUCGCCCCAGUGUCAUUCCAGAGGGCGGCGCAUCAGUCCAGGUCAGCCCUGGGAGGGGUAGGGUCAGGAAGCAGAGGUCAUGCCAAGGGACCUCGCCAUGGGCCAUUCUGGUGACACUGCUGCUCAUGCUUAGCCAUUCCUGCAGGUGGAGGUGGCUCAGGCUCCUGCCAGGGAAGGGCUGAUCAGACCUCACCCGGUGCCUUCCUCAGCCCGGCUCUGUCCUGCCCCUGCUAUAGCCAGCCAGGGGAGGCACACUUAGCAGAUCUGGAGGGGGAGGGAGAGUUCAUGUCUCAGGGUCACAGGCCCUGAGUUCUGUGGGGACAGUUCUGGGGCUCCCAGCCCACACGGAGCUGUGCUUGUCCUGGGAGGACAAUGGCUGAGGAUGUCCUGGGCUAUAGCUGGUGGGAACACAUGGCCUGGCAAGCAGUGACCAAGAGAAGAGAGCGGGAUUUCUGGUAAGAGGGUCGGUGCCUCCCCCGGAGGAGCCACUGAGCCCAGAGAGCUGAGGAAGACACUGGGACCUUGCCCGGUGCUGCGUGCUGUGUGGGCCACCAGGAAGGAGCUCAGACCAAAAUGCCAGUGCCCAGGGGCUGCUGGCCAGAGCACUCUGGGUUGGGGUCUGGGCAGUGGUACGUGCCGACCACAGAGCUGAUCUGAGGUUCUUGGGCUUGGUGCCACUGCCAGGGCCUUCUGGCAAGGGUGGUCCAACUUCAGUGGGAGGGAGGUUCAGUGUGUGGGCCUGGCACUUGCUCCCCAGAAAAGGGGUGCAUGUGAUUCAGGAGGGCCAGGCAUCAGCAUCUUGGGAUCCAGCAGACUCCAGCUGCUGCUGCCUGGGCAGUGCCCCCAUCCAUACAGCCGCCUCAGGCUGAGCCCUGCACCCUCCAGGUCCCUGCAGGUGGCGAGAGGCAGGGUGCAGGCCCCCUGCUGCUCCAGGAGCCACUGCUGAGCUGUGUGCCACAUCGCUAUGCCCAGGAGGUGAGCCGGCUCUGCCUGCUGUCUGCGGGCACCUACAGGGUCGUGCCCUCCACCUACUGGCCUGACACCGAGGGCUCCUUCAUGGUGACCAUAGCAACCAGAGUGGACAGGUGCGGCUCUGGGCCUUGGGAUGACCAGCAGGUGUUCUUGGCCCUGAGCACUCAGCAGCCUUCCCCGUCUGGUUCUCUGCUGACCCAAGGCAUGAAUGGGCCUGCUUGCCUGGCUGAGCUGGGAGGAGGGUCUGGUGAGAGGCCAGCCGGGAGCAGGUGGCCCCCGGUGAGCUGCCCUCUCUCCACAGGCGGUCCAUUCACAGCCAGGAGAUGCUGGGCCAGGUCCUCCAGGAGGUGCGUGCAGCCCCUGCCUGCAGCCCCCAGCAGCCUUGCAUCCCAGUGCCUGAGGCCCCUCCCAGCUGCCUCACUCAGUGGCCUCUGCUACCCUGAGUCACAGGGCAGAGCUUGCAGGGACUUGGGGGCUGGGCUGUCACAGUCCCUAGGGGCAUUUGGGGGGGGGGUGGGAGCAGCCCUGAGCCCACCUUUCCGUCCCUCUUGCAGGUUUCCCUCACUGCAGUGAUGAAGGCCUAGCCGGGCUCCCACGGGGCAGCUCUGGGGGCUGGAGCUGGCCAAGCCUUGACCUGCCUCAGCUCUGCAGGGUGGCCACAGCUUGGGUCCCGAGUGAGGUGCUCUGUCCUGGAGAGAGGGAGUCUUGGGGUGGCACAGGUGCUGCAGGAGGGUCAGGAAGUCCUGUGGUGUCUGUCCCAUGCCCAAGACCCCAGGGUCCCUUCCACAUGGUCCUGCCAACUCCAGGCGGGCACGUGUUGUAACAGGUGUUGCUGGGAGCUGUUUAUCACUUGAAAUAUCUUUUAGGACAUGACUAUAAAUAAACACGAGCAGUUUGUG